RNAcentral lists this ribosomal RNA (237 nucleotides) under uncultured bacterium. RNAcentral's name for it is "partial 16S ribosomal RNA". It matches the Rfam family "Bacterial small subunit ribosomal RNA", at positions 118 to 353 of the family's 1533-position model. The record is from RNAcentral.
UCGGAACGUGUCCUGUUGUGGGGGAGUAACUGAUCGAAAGAUCAGCUAAUACCGCAUGAGACCUGAGGGUGAAAGCGGGGGAGUCGCAAGACCUCGCGCGACAGGAGCGGCCGAUGUCUGAUUAGCUAGUUGGUGAGAUAAAAGCUUACCAAGGCGACGAUCAGUAGCUGGUCUGAGAGGAUGAUCAGCCACAUUGGGACUGAGACACGGCCCAGACUCCUACGGGAGGCAGCAUGC